Molecule: ribosomal RNA, 947 nt
Filed under: Aptostichus atomarius
Lineage: Eukaryota; Metazoa; Arthropoda; Arachnida; Araneae; Euctenizidae
Description: partial 16S ribosomal RNA
Source: RNAcentral
AUCUUGCUCCAAAUAGAAAGAUAAUUCAACAUCGAGGUCACAAACUUUUUCUUCUAUAAGAACUUAAGGAAAAAAUUGUGCUGUUAUCCCUACGGUAGCUUGUUAAAUUCUCAAUUUGAGGAUAGGACAAGGAUGAAGAAAAAGAUAUGGUUUUUUACCGCCCCAGUUCAACAAAAGUAAAGUUCGAUAGGGUCUUGUCGUCCUUCUGUUGAAUACAAGUUUUUUUACUUGAAUAAAAAGUUAAAAUAAUUUAGGUAAUAAAGAAAUUUAUAUGUCAAACCUUUCAUUCUAGCCUUUAAUUAAAAGGCAAAUGAUUAUGCUACCUUAGCACAAAAAUAUUGCGGCUAUUUAAGAAAUCAUUGAGCAGGUCCUACUGAAUAUAAGAACAUUCAGAAAUGUUUUUGAUAAACAGACAAUAAAAUAAGGGCCGAGUUCAUAAACCUAAAGUUAUACUAUUCUUUCGAUGGGGAGUUAAAAUUAGAAGAGUAGCAGAUAUUUUACUAAUAAAGUCAUUGUGCGUGGAUUUUAAAGAUAAAGCUUCUUUUAAGAAAAUUAGGUGAAGGGAAAGAGAAAGUUUUUAAACUGAAAGACACUAUUAAUCCUAAAUUUGAGUGAAUUAAAGAAGUGAAUAAUAUGGAAAAAGGGUUAUCCCUUUUAAAAUCUUAGUAUUGUUACUUUAAAAGAAAACCAGAUAUCAUGGAAUGCGAAUGGAAUUUCAUCUCUAUCUCCCCUUUGAAAACCUUUAUGAAACAAGAUUGGCCAAGGGAAAUAGAUCAUUUCAAUUUCGGGAGUUUUUAUUAGAAAAUUAAGGUUGAAUUUCCCUGAUACAAAAGGUACAAAAAUUUUCUAUUAAGCAAUUAAAGGAUCCCUUUCGGUUAAGAAAAAAAAGAAAAAUAAGAGUCAGGAUGGAAAAUUAUUUUGGACAAAAUUUCAGAUAAAAAAAAUCU